This is a long non-coding RNA of Zea mays, 644 nucleotides long. RefSeq lists it as uncharacterized. Lineage: Eukaryota; Viridiplantae; Streptophyta; Magnoliopsida; Poales; Poaceae. The transcript is spliced from 3 exons. The record is from RefSeq and is a predicted model, not a curated record.
GAAUAGGGUAUAUGAUGAUGUUGGCAAGCGCUGGAGCAGGUAAUAUUUUGUUAAAGUUUUCAUGUCGUUCCUCCACUGCCAUGGCUUGAUCUGUGAGGAUCCAUACAUGCAUAUGGUUUAUGCAUGUAAGUUUUCUCCUUCCCUUGCUUUACACAUCUGCCAUAUCAUGCAUGACAAACACAUCAGUUUUGGCCCUAAUGUUCCAGUGUGUUUUUGUGUAACUUUGUCCCUUUCUUUGUACCAAGAUUUUCUUCAUUAGGUCUGCGUGGGCUACCAGGGAUUAAGGUUAAUGAUUCAAUUAUGCUCUUUGUAUUGUGCUUAUGGUUGAGUAUGGCGUUUAACACUAACUACGAGAUAGGUCAGAACAGAAUUGGAAGACCAGCUUCUCUACACAUAUAGAUGCCAUUUUCUCGAUGGGGAGUUCAGUGAUUUCAAGGCGCUGCCUAGAGCAAGUGGAUAAUUGAGUGAUUUUCAGGAGCUCCUACACUAUUUGUAUGAACUAACUCUUUCUGAUCAUAAGUGGGAUGAUGCGAACUAUCUGGAGCCCAAACAGAUCAACAGAUGACUACCGUAAUAAAGAUGAAGUUAGUGUUCUCACGGAGGAAUUCAAGACCCAACUUACCAUUAGGGAGGAUCUGUUCAUC